GUUUUAAUAGUUUAAAAAAAACGUUGGUUUUGUAAACCAAAAAUGAGAACAAGCCCCACUUUUAAAACU
RNAcentral lists this transfer RNA (69 nucleotides) under Myrmeleotettix palpalis. Its description in RNAcentral is "tRNA-Thr". It matches the Rfam family "tRNA". From Rfam's summary of the family: Transfer RNA (tRNA) molecules are approximately 80 nucleotides in length. Their secondary structure includes four short double-helical elements and three loops (D, anti-codon, and T loops). Lineage: Eukaryota; Metazoa; Arthropoda; Insecta; Orthoptera; Acrididae. The record is from RNAcentral. RNAcentral also lists the same sequence under 2 other names.